UGGCUUCCAACGUCGAGUUCCGCCCGUGGCGGAAGCGGGGGACCCACUUUCCCGGGGCGUAUCGCCGGUCUUCCGGCGUAGGGCAACCUCUUCGGCCCGAGCCCGUCAGCUAACCUCGUAGACGUCGAAGGGGAAACCG
RNAcentral lists this small RNA (139 nucleotides) under Desulfovibrio sp. Its description in RNAcentral is "c-di-AMP sequence". It matches the Rfam family "c-di-AMP riboswitch aptamer (ydaO/yuaA leader)". From Rfam's summary of the family: This family represents a conserved RNA structure found upstream of the ydaO and yuaA genes in Bacillus subtilis and related genes in other bacteria. The ydaO/yuaA element is thought to act as a genetic "off" switch for the ydaO and yuaA genes in its native state. The record is from RNAcentral. Lineage: Bacteria; Pseudomonadati; Thermodesulfobacteriota; Desulfovibrionia; Desulfovibrionales; Desulfovibrionaceae.